AUGGACUUUGUGGAAGGACUGCCUAAAUCAAAUGGACACAGUGUCAUUAUGGUAGUGGUGGACAGAUACUCUAAGUACAGCCACUUUAUUCCCCUCAAGCAUCCAUAUUCUGCUGCUACAGUUGCUCAAAUGUUCAUGCAACAUGUUGUCAAGCUUCACAGCAUGCCUCUGACAAUCACUUCUGACAGAGAUACCAUCUUCACUAGCCAUUUCUGGAAGGAAUUGUUGGCAAUCUGGGGUCCCAAAUUACAGAUGUCCACUGCUCGACAUCCUCAAACCGAUGGGCAAACGGAAAGAGUGAACCAAUGCUUGAAAAUGUACCUGAGAUGUGCGGUACAUGACUCUCCCACCAAGUGGCAUAAUUGGCUAGCUCUGGCAGAAUUAUGGUACAACACUACUUAUCACUCCUCUUUGGGCUGCUCCCCUUUCAAGCCUUUGUAUGGGCAAGAUCCUCACAUGGGACAGUUCCUUAGACCUCCUGAAGAGGCAUCUCCUGAUGUGCAGUAG
RNAcentral lists this ribosomal RNA (507 nucleotides) under Triticum aestivum (bread wheat). RNAcentral's name for it is "partial small subunit ribosomal RNA". The record is from RNAcentral. Lineage: Eukaryota; Viridiplantae; Streptophyta; Magnoliopsida; Poales; Poaceae.